UGACUUCAUCACUAACACAAUUGUCAUGAGUCAAGCAGUUUCCAUAGCAACGCCCUAGUACAGCUGUUUACCCGUAUAAAGUACUGCACCUACUUAGUUCCAUAUACAGACAGAUCACUAGAUUCCUAGGGCUCUGAUGGCUGGGAAGUAGCAAGCCAGGCGGGAAUUAUCCUGGCCUCCCUCUGUGGAGCAAGACCUGCAGGAUUAUUCUUUCCUCUUGUGGAAACUUUCAGUCAACAACUUCUUUCAUGAGCAGCAUGAACCCAGUUUCCUACGGAGUCAGAAAUUUGAUUAUCUUUGAAGCACAUGUUGGAUUUUUUCUCUACUCUCUGAAGCCAACCGAAGUUUUCCAAAGACUUAUGGAUGGAUAGUGCAGAGUGUUCUCCAACAAAAGCUUACAACACAGGAAAAUGACAAGAAAAUAAGAUUCUUAGCUCUGUAUCUUCAUCCCAUGAUGACUUAUCUAAUGCCAACAAACUUACAAAAAUUGUCAUGAUUUUGAGCUUACUCUCUUCCAGAGCACUGGGAAAAACAUCUGCCUUGCAAAUGGAUUCCUCCUCAUAGAGUUGGUCAUGCCAGGGCUAUCCUGUGCAGGGCCAGGAGCUGGACUUUGAUGAUCCCAGUGGGACCCUUCCAACUCAAGAUUUUCUAUGCUCAGCACUGUGGUCAUAAUCACACUCUAAAUAGCAGUACAGAAAAGAUUAAAUCAACUGAAGAAUAUAUAGUGUUAAUCAAAGGCUCAAGGCCAGUUUUUCAAUUAUCUAAACUGCCUCAUUUUCACAGACAUCGUCUAGGCUGCAAUUACUUAAAUGAAGUUGAGAGUAUUUAUAUAAUAUUGUGACAGGUUCAAGAACAACAGAGGAAAGUUUAGUUUUAUUCUAUAUAACGCAAAAUGUUUACAAUGUCUUUGAAAGGAGACUGCAAAUUGUUACUUUUAUGUGGCACUAUUUUAUUUUUUCAAAG
Molecule: long non-coding RNA, 963 nt
Organism: Corapipo altera (White-ruffed manakin)
Lineage: Eukaryota; Metazoa; Chordata; Aves; Passeriformes; Pipridae
Exons: 3
Source: RefSeq, a predicted model, not a curated record